UAUUGCACAAUGGGGGAAACCCUGAUGCAGCGACGCCGCGUGAGUGAGGAAGUAUUUCGGUAUGUAAAGCUCUAUCAGCAGGGAAGAAAAUGACGGUACCUGACUAAGAAGCCCCGGCUAACUACGUGCCAGCAGCCGCGGUAAUACGUAGGGGGCAAGCGUUAUCCGGAUUUACUGGGUGUAAAGGGAGCGUAGACGGAAUUGCAAGUCUGAUGUGAAAAUCCGGGGCCCAACCCCGGAACUGCAUUGGAAACUGUAUUUCUAGAGUGUCGGAGAGGCAAGUGGAAUUCCUGGUGUAGCGGUGAAAUGCGUAGAUAUCAGGAGGAACACCAGUGGCGAAGGCAGCUUACCAAACUAUAUCUGACGUUGAGGCACGAAAGCGUGGGGAGCAAACAGG
This 397-nucleotide ribosomal RNA is filed under the name uncultured bacterium. RNAcentral describes it as "bacterial SSU rRNA". It matches the Rfam family "Bacterial small subunit ribosomal RNA", at positions 362 to 776 of the family's 1533-position model. The record is from RNAcentral.